This is a regulatory RNA element of Myotis lucifugus (little brown bat), 35 nucleotides long. It matches the Rfam family "Iron response element I". NCBI's taxonomy places the organism in Eukaryota, Metazoa, Chordata, Mammalia, Chiroptera, Vespertilionidae. The record is from Rfam.
CUGUCUCUUGCUUCAACAGGGUUUGGACGGAACAG